RNAcentral lists this ribosomal RNA (492 nucleotides) under uncultured bacterium. Its description in RNAcentral is "partial 16S ribosomal RNA". It matches the Rfam family "Bacterial small subunit ribosomal RNA", at positions 29 to 507 of the family's 1533-position model. The record is from RNAcentral.
AGUGAACGCUGGCGGCAGGCCUAACACAUGCAAGUCGAACGGCAGCACAGUAAGAGCUUGCUCUUACGGGUGGCGAGUGGCGGACGGGUGAGGAAUACAUCGGAAUCUACUUUUUCGUGGGGGAUAACGUAGGGAAACUUACGCUAAUACCGCAUACGACCUACGGGUGAAAGCAGGGGAUCUUCGGACCUUGCGCGAUUGAAUGAGCCGAUGUCGGAUUAGCUAGUUGGCGGGGUAAAGGCCCACCAAGGCGACGAUCCGUAGCUGGUCUGAGAGGAUGAUCAGCCACACUGGAACUGAGACACGGUCCAGACUCCUACGGGAGGCAGCAGUGGGGAAUAUUGGACAAUGGGCGAAAGCCUGAUCCAGCCAUGCCGCGUGGGUGAAGAAGGCCUUCGGGUUGUAAAGCCCUGUUGUUGGGAAAGAAAAGCAGCAGGUUAAUACCCCGCUGUUCUGACGGUACCCAAAGAAUAAGCACCGGCUAACUUCGUG